CAGCAGCCGCGGUAAUACAGAGGGUGCGAGCGUUAAUCGGAUUUACUGGGCGUAAAGCGUGCGUAGGCGGCUAAUUGAGUCGGAUGUGAAAUCCCCGAGCUUAACUUGGGAAUUGCAUUCGAUACUGGUUAGCUAGAGUGUGGGAGAGGAUGGUAGAAUUUCAGGUGUAGCGGUGAAAUGCGUAGAGAUCUGGAGGAAUACCGAUGGCGAAGGCAGCCAUCUGGCCUAACACUGACGCUGAGGUACGAAAGCAUGGGGAGCAAACAGGAUUAGAUACCCCGGUAGUCCCUGUCUCUUAUAC
Molecule: ribosomal RNA, 301 nt
Filed under: uncultured bacterium
Lineage: Bacteria
Description: partial 16S ribosomal RNA
Rfam family: Bacterial small subunit ribosomal RNA
Source: RNAcentral